Molecule: long non-coding RNA, 420 nt
Organism: Vombatus ursinus (common wombat)
Lineage: Eukaryota; Metazoa; Chordata; Mammalia; Diprotodontia; Vombatidae
Exons: 3
Source: RefSeq, a predicted model, not a curated record
CUGUCGGAGUCACCAGGGUCUGUUUCAGGGGCUUGUUGCGUCACUGGGCCUGUGUUCCGCCCCUUCCUCACCCAGGCCCGCCUGAGAGAAACCGGGGCCUCUGCCCUGCUGACUGAGCCUAGGCCGUGCCUGAGAACUGAGGGAAACAGGGCCUUGGCCCUCUCUGGCCCAGCCAGGGGUCACAAGGGGAACCCCCGUCCCCGAAGAGGCCACAGGGCCCUCCCUCUUCAGCAUCCUGGAGUUAGCCCCGCCCUCUCCAUGGUUGCUAUUUGGGUUCCAUUGGUGGAGGGAGGAAAAAAAAUGGAGCACAACUGAUUGAUGCCUGUGGAAAAGGUGUGCGAUGUGUAACACCUGUGGACCUCUCACGGCCUGGACGGGGGUAGAAAAGAAAAGCCAGCGCAACUGAUCAAUGCAUUUGGG